CUACGGGACGCUGCAGUGAGGAAUUUUGCGCAAUGGGGGGAACCCUGACGCAGCAACGCCGUGUGAGUGAAGAAGGCCUUUGGGUCGUAAAGCUCUGUCAACAGGGAAGAAGUUACUGUGCUUUAAUAGAGUGCAGUAUUGACGGUACCAGUGGAGGAAGCGUCGGCUAACUCCGUGCCAGCAGCCGCGGUAACACGGGGGAUGCAAGCGUUAUUCGGAAUUAUUGGGCGUAAAGGGCGCGUAGGCGGUCUUGUCGGUCAGGUGUAAAAGCCCGGGGCUCAACCCCGGACGUGCACUUGAAACAGCAAGACUUGAGUACGGGAGAGGAAAGCGGAAUUCCUGGUGUAGAGGUGAAAUUCGUAGAUAUCAGGAGGAACACCGAUGGCGAAGGCAGCUUUCUGGACCGAAACUGACGCUGAGGCGCGAAGGCGUGGGUAGCGAACGGGAUUAGAUACCCCCGUAGUC
RNAcentral lists this ribosomal RNA (465 nucleotides) under uncultured bacterium. RNAcentral describes it as "partial 16S ribosomal RNA". It matches the Rfam family "Bacterial small subunit ribosomal RNA", at positions 339 to 795 of the family's 1533-position model. The record is from RNAcentral.